AAGCAGAAGAAACAGACAAACAGAUCAUUCAUAUAUAGACUGUCCACUAAAUCAUUUGAUUCUUCAUUUAAUGCCCAGCUGCAGGCAUCAUGAUCUACUUGAGGCACUUAGUUGAAUAAUUAUAUAUCAUAAAGGCUGUUCUUCAGCUGCUAUCACACCUUCCAAAUGAGUUACAGGAGAGUAUUUCAAUUCUCAAAAGCAGAGUCAAAAUACUUGUGAUGUGAAUGAGUAACCAAGGGAAAAAAAACAUGGGUCUAUCCAACAAUAAACUAAAAUUAUUAUGGUUACAGAGAAACUGAAAGUUAUCCUAAAACCAUUGUAGAACCAUGUUGCCACUUAAUAUUGUUGCACGAAAAAUUUUCCCCUUCCCUUCUCUCUUUCUUUUCCCACCUCGGUUUUAAGUCAGCUAACAUAAAGUAGCUCAAACACAAUGAAAAAGGCAAGGAGAACUUCCCAAUUACUUCAUCUUAGAUUAAUGCUAAGUAUAAUUUAACUGCAUCUUGCUGGUGUGGUUGGUUGCACUUAAUAGUUUGCCCUUACAAACUAACAUGAAGAGAAGUUUUGAACUUAGGCAUCCUCACUCUGGUUUGUGUAUAGCUGGCAAGAGAAUAUGUUAUAGUAUUUACUGAAAGCUACAAGUGAUUAAUCCCAAAAUUCAUAGAAGGCCUGUAAAAUGAUCAUAAUCAUCUUACCCAAAGAUCCAAAUGCUCAGUGAUAGAAAAUGCCAAACUAGUAAUUUCAAGGAAAUGAUACAUAUAGUGAGCUAAAUAUCAACAGUUCCAGGAUAAUAAAUAUAGAAAAACCUUCCAAUUACUUGAUACAAACAAUUGUUCUGAAAGUUCCAAAGUAAAGGUUGGAAUUAGGGGAGCGCAUCAUUCAGUUACAACCAAAAUAACUGAACUAAACCUUCCAAUAACUUGAUUAAUAAUAAUACAUUAUUAUAGUUUUAUCAAUGAUAUCUAGUUAUAAAUCAUAUUUCUUAUUUCUUUAUACAUAAAAAUGAUUACAAAUCUGUUUUAUUAAUAUACAACUAAUUAAUAAUAUAAAAGAUAUGUUCUACUUUUCUGUUAUAACCAAUAAACGACUGAAUAUUUCGGUUUCAUUCAGAUUCGUUUUCUUCCCAAUUUCAGUUAGGUUCAGUUGUGUAAUUUUAAAGUCCGGUAUAAAAUUCAGUUUCAGUUAACUAAAUGCUUACCCCAAGUUGGGAUAUCGGAAAAGUCAACACUAGUUUACAUGAAGACAUUGGAUCAAUGAAGAUGGCAAUUUUCAGCUGCCAAGAUGUAAAAGGUUUUUUCUUUUCUUUUUUUUUUUUUUAAUCAAGACAUUUGGGAAACGCAACAGCAUUAGCACAUAUUCAUACAAUUCAUGUGGAAUAAAAAGCAAAGGGAACAUAUAGCAGAUGUACAGGAAUGCUUCAAAAGAAUAUUACAACUUGAACCCAAGGACACCAAUUUCCAGUCUCAUGGAAUCUAAAUGCUAAACAAAUAGGUAAACCACUGUCAUGAACAAAAAAAUAAACAAUAUUAUGCAAUUUGUUUAUCUCCUUUAUACUCAGAGAUCUUUUAAUGAUAUGCACUAAUAAGGAUAAUUACAAAAUGAGAUAAUAGCUUAAGACAACCUAAAGAUACAAUACAGGAAAAUCAUAUUGUAAAACCCACUGCUUAACCAGCAUGACGAGGGUGCAGCUCACUAAGCCAACAAGCUAUGGCUUCUACAGAAGUGGAAACUUUUGCAAGUUUCCAAUAUUACCUGCAGUCUAUUGUCUUAGGACAAGAUUAAUAGCAAUCAUCCAAGAAAUGUCCUUCAUUGUGGUGAAUUAAGUCGGUCAUUAAAAAAAAAGGACAAAAAAAUAAAACACAGCAUAAACCAUAUAGAAAGCAUGCACUGUGCAUAGAAGUCCCUCUAACUACACCAAUUCAUAUAUACAUCUACAGUAAAAUCCAAUUGACAAUCAAUAAAUGAUAGAAUCUCAAGUAAACCAUUUUUAAUCAUCAUUCAUAGUCAAAUCAAAUUAUGAUAUACUUUAGAAGUCUAAAUAGAAUCUAAAUAUUCUAUUCUACAUUGUAUCAUAUUCGUAAUAACCCGUUAUUAAAGAGGCGCGCCUCAGGCUCCAGGCGCACGAGGCUCAGAGGUCAGCACCUUGACACUCCCCAGGCGGUUGAUGAUUCAAAGGCGCACCUUGUGCCUAGGCUCGCCUUGCGCCUUGCGCCUAGGCUCGCCUUGGCAAUCCAGGCACCCUAUUCAAAUAUGGCUGGCUAUUUCAUGCUUUUCUUUAAUACUAAAAUUUAAUUUUAAUUUAUUUUUAAUGUGAUA
This 2313-nucleotide long non-coding RNA is filed under the name Manihot esculenta (cassava). RNAcentral describes it as "long non-coding RNA (MESC_LNC006628)". Lineage: Eukaryota; Viridiplantae; Streptophyta; Magnoliopsida; Malpighiales; Euphorbiaceae. The record is from RNAcentral.